This 551-nucleotide ribosomal RNA is filed under the name Limnonectes kuhlii (Kuhl's wart frog). RNAcentral's name for it is "partial 16S ribosomal RNA". It matches the Rfam family "Bacterial large subunit ribosomal RNA", at positions 1905 to 2622 of the family's 2925-position model. Lineage: Eukaryota; Metazoa; Chordata; Amphibia; Anura; Dicroglossidae. The record is from RNAcentral.
UUCCCAAAGGUGACAUAGUUAAACUUCCGCGCCACCCUGUACCGUGCAAAGGUAGCAUAAUCACUUGUUCUUUAAAUAAGGACUCGUAUCAACGGCUUCACGAGGGUUUUACUGUCUCCCCUCUCUAAUCAGUGAAACUGACUUCCCCGUGAAGAGGCGGGGAUACACCUACAAGACGAGAAGACCCCAUGGAGCUUUAAACCCGCUAACAACCCCCACUAAACAUCCCCAUAUAAAUAAAAAGUAAUGUACAGCGGUUUUAGGUUGGGGUGACCACGGAGCAAAACAAAACCUCCACGAUGAACGGAAUAUUCAUCCUAAUCAACGAACUACCACUCUAAGAAUCAAAAAUUAGACAUAAUCUGAUCCGGUAACCGAUCAACGAACCAAGUUACCCUGGGGAUAACAGCGCAAUCCAUUUCAAGAGCCCCUAUCGACAAAUGGGUUUACGACCUCGAUGUUGGAUCAGGGUAUCCUAGUGGUGCAGCCGCUACUAAAGGUUUGUUUGUUCAACAAUUAAAACCCUACGUGAUCUGAGUUCAGACCGGGAA